RNAcentral lists this ribosomal RNA (406 nucleotides) under uncultured bacterium. Its description in RNAcentral is "partial 16S ribosomal RNA". It matches the Rfam family "Bacterial small subunit ribosomal RNA", at positions 30 to 526 of the family's 1533-position model. The record is from RNAcentral.
AUUGAACGCUGGCGGCAGGCCUAACACAUGCAAGUCGAGCGAGCGGCGGACGGGUGCGUAAUGUCUGGGAAACUGCCUGCUGGCGGGGGAUAACUCCUGGAAACGGUAUCUAAUACCGCAUACCAUCAGAUGUGCCCAGAUGGGAUUAGCUAGUAGGUGGGGUAACGGCUCACCUAGGCGACGAUCCCUAGCUGUUCUGAGAGGAUGACCAGCCACACUGGAACGGAGACACGGGCCAGACGCCUACGGGAGGCAGCAGUGGGGAAUAUUGCACAAUGGGCGAAAGCCUGAUGCAGCCAUGCCGAGUGUGUGAAGAAGGCCUUCGGGUUGUAAAGCACUUUCAGCGGGGAGGCGUUACCCGCAGAAGAAGCACCGGCUAACUCCGUGCCAGCAGCCGCGGUAAUAC